AACGAACGCUGGCGCCGUGGAUAAGACAUGCAAGUCGAGCGCUAAUUUAAGGGUAGCAAUAUUCUUAAGUUGGAGCGGCGCAAGGGUGCGUAACACGUGGGUAAUUUGCCGUGAAGUUGGGGAUAACUUGCUGAAAGGCGAGCUAAUACCGAAUGUGACGUUUGGAAGGCAUCUUCCGAAUUUCAAAGCUGGGGACCGCAAGGCCUGGCGCUUCACGAUAAGCCCGCGGCCUAUCAGCUAGUUGGUGAGGUAAUGGCUCACCAAGGCUAAGACGGUAGCUGGUCUGAGAGGACGACCAGCCACACUGGAACUGAGACACGGUCCAGACACCUACGGGUGCAGCAGUCGAGAAUUUUUCNCAAUGGGCGAAAG
Molecule: ribosomal RNA, 372 nt
Filed under: uncultured bacterium
Lineage: Bacteria
Description: bacterial SSU rRNA
Rfam family: Bacterial small subunit ribosomal RNA
Source: RNAcentral